CGUCGCUUGACACACGCACAUGCAUCGUGGUACUGCGGUGGAGCCGAUGGGGAAUUUCUCUCGAGAUGAAAAUUUCGCAGCUCUCGGAACAGUCCCAUGUUCAUCGUUCAUGACGUUACCAAAAUAGGUACUACGUGUCACGCUAAGAACGUCAGUUUGCAUCAUACAUCCUGUUCUUGUGCCCGACGGGUUUUCACAGCGUCAUCGGGGGCAAACAAGAACCAGUUUUCUUCCUCCGAGGCUCAGGCUUGCUCGCGGCUCAGUUUGUCACGGCCAAUGCGCGCCGUAAAUCAUUCACGAGUGGCGGGGCGCAGAUAACGGGCGCAUAAAUUGAUACAUACACGCCACCGGAGGGAAGGCGCGUAUAAUCUGUCUCUAUCGCUCGCCGCGACAGCGACUCGCCAUGCCGUACAGUGCACGAGUCUUCGAGCUUUGCGGGGAAGUCCAUGUGGAAACUCGCCGUGGCUUGUACGACACGCGCAUAAACAAGGCCCCGGCGAUACCGGGCGGAUAAUCCGUCUCGUCCUGCAGUGUCCGGCAGCGGACUGGGUGACCGUGGAAACGCGCACCGAGUUAUUACAGGAAUGCGCCCUACAUCUUCGUCAUCAGUGACGCACAGAUUAGCGGAGGGGAAAUAGAACGGCUGCAUAAGAAUGCGGCCCUCCUUUUGACGAAUAUAUAUGCGAUCGCCCAAUUACGU
Dermacentor silvarum is the source of this 700-nucleotide long non-coding RNA. RefSeq lists it as uncharacterized. The transcript is spliced from 3 exons. NCBI's taxonomy places the organism in Eukaryota, Metazoa, Arthropoda, Arachnida, Ixodida, Ixodidae. The record is from RefSeq and is a predicted model, not a curated record.